GGUAAUAUAGGUUAAGAUAAACCAGAAAGUUUAUUUCUUUCUAAUAACAUGUGUUUAUUACUU
This 63-nucleotide transfer RNA is filed under the name Halocynthia aurantium. RNAcentral describes it as "tRNA-Met". The record is from RNAcentral. Lineage: Eukaryota; Metazoa; Chordata; Ascidiacea; Stolidobranchia; Pyuridae.